This is a long non-coding RNA of Oreochromis niloticus (Nile tilapia), 1021 nucleotides long. RefSeq lists it as uncharacterized. The record is from RefSeq and is a predicted model, not a curated record. The transcript is spliced from 3 exons. NCBI's taxonomy places the organism in Eukaryota, Metazoa, Chordata, Actinopteri, Cichliformes, Cichlidae.
GCUGCCCUGUAAAGGGCGGAUAGUUUAUCAACAUUUUUGCUCUUCUGAGUUGUCUUAGGAAUAAUCGAGCAACCGUUGCGCAUUUGCAAACAGCACUGGGGAAGCCGGACCCCUGUCGUUCCUCGGACAGAGACUUUAGUUCUUUUGUCUCAAGGAAAUUACAACUGCGAAAGGCUCAUCCAAGCGGCAGCUGCACGGAAGUCCAAGGUCAAGUAAAACCAGGUGAAAACACCUCACUGAAUCACCUCCCUUGCACAUUCCCGUGUGUAAAUGGUUCUCCCAAGCCUGCGUUGACUGUUGUGGAAUCCUGGAAAUGACCCAAGUAAUUUCUGAGACCACAAUGGAGAUCCACACAGAUUCUUACAGCCACGGUAUUGCUGCGUGUGAACGCCCUGAGAUGACAGAGUCGUCUAAAGGACCAUGAUGGAUACUAUGCUUGUGCGUUUCUGAACAUCAGCUCAGAAAAGGAAAAUGCCUUGCUCUCGUUCUACGUGAGGGUGCAUGUUUAAUAUUCAGGAGAAAAAUAAGUCUCACAGUUUUUCAACAUGUGGCAAGAAAAAGAAACAGCUGAUGUACACUUUUAAUAAAAAGUUCAAAAGUCAGUUUUGUUUCGUGUAGCACAAUUUUGCCAUUGUCUGCAUCUAUCCCCAUCAAGCAUUCUGUAUAGGAAGUUCUUCCAGCUUAAUACCGAAACACAAGUAGUUAAAACAAUAAACAUAAGUCUUUGCCAACUAUUACUUUUCCUUGUACUUCUGUUUUCUUUUUGUGUGUGUUAAGAUUAAAACAAAGAACUGUAUUUCACAUCUUUUAACAUCCUGUAUUUCACUUCUCAAAAUAUUUAAUAUAGUGAUACAGUUUUUAUGUGUACAAUUUUGUUAUGCAAACCUAUACAAGUAUUUAAUGCAAGUACAGGAACCCUGCAAACCCAAAUAAAAUCCCUUCAUAUUAGCCAAUUCACUGCACUCUACAUUAAGUGCCAUAACAAAAGAAAAAAAAUUAAACUUUAAAAAAAAUCUGCACA